CUCGUACCUGUGGCCGCGUGGCGGGGGCGGGUCAGGUCGGGGCACGAGGACGGAGUUCAGGUAGUUGGGCGACUGUUGGAAAAACUGGCCUCUCCUCGCUCCGCGCUUCGCCGCCGCCUCCCCGGGUCCUGCCGCUGCCGAGGUCGCGCAGAGGUGGACCCGCCCGCGUCCUGCCCUCGGUGAGCGCUCCGGGGCCGGCGGCGGUUCCGGCUCCUGCGGGAGCCCCGCGCCCUCAGCCUGUUGUGCGCAGAGUUGAGGCUCCGACUUGGGGCGAGUGGGCCCGGCGGGGCAGGGGCGAGGGCGGCGGGGCGGAGGAGAGGCAGUCAAAACAGCUGAUUAUGACGGAAACGGCUCUGUGUCCCCGCUUCUGCCCGGCCGCCUCCCUGCAGCCUGGGGUUCAGGUUGGUCGCCCAGCUGGCCAUCAGCAUGCAGGGGGUGCAGGGACCCGGUGAGACUGGGAGGGGAGGGAGCCUGCAAGAAAGGGGUCCCAGGAUGUCCCCUGAGGCUCUGAGCACCCCAGACCCACUCACAGACCGAAGUGCGGGGUGGUGACUGGGGCAGGGUCUCGAGUUGGCCCCAUCUGAGACUCCCUCUGUGACUGUGUGACGAGACCUUGGCAGGCGCCAGACUGGACGCCCUCCUCAACGGGAGCUCUGGGUCCUCCCACGCCCCCCGGGGUGGGCACUCCUGCCCGUUUUGCAGAUCAGAAAAGUCGCUGGGAGAGGCUGAGGCCACAGGCUCCCAAGCGGUGGAUUUGGGACUCAGACCCCCAGCUGUGGUGCCGGUGGGUGUGGAGAGAAAAGGAAAGCCGGGUUGCUGGUGACUUACUGCUGCCCGGCCUGGUGUGGGGCUGCAGGGCUCCUGUGUGGCCCCCAUGUCCCCUUUCCCCAUUAAUACUUUGCACACUGGCGUGCACACACGCACAGGGCUGGGCUCUUCGAGAGGGUCCCGUCUGGAACAGGACGCUCAGAUCUGUCUCUGCCCCAUCCCUGACGUGGCCGGGCCCUGGCUGGGGCCGUGAGCAGGGCAGGUCCCUGUCCCUGACAUCCUGGGAGGGUCCUGGGACGGCACGAGUACGGCCCGGGCUGCAGGGUGGCUGUGCCGGAGCCCCGUCAUCUGGCUUCUGCGGCUGCCGUGCUGCAUGUGGACUGAAGGACAAAGGCAGGAGCAGGUCAGACAGGACAGGGGCAGUGGAGGGGGUGACAGGUGCUCAGACCUUAGACGUGUCUCUGCAGGGAGAACCAGGGCAGCUUCACAGGCACGUGACACUGCUGUCACACGAGGUCCUUUGUCAGAAGACCUCACAGUUGGCGCGUGCUCUGCUGUCACCAUGUUGGAACCCUUCUCUUCCCGGCUUUGUUGAGACGUGGUUGACACAGAACACGUGUGAGUCUAAGGUGAACAGCGUGACGGUUUGAGCCACACGCACGUUGCAGGAUGGCACCCACAGUAGUUCACCCCUCUGUCACCUCACAUUUUUAUUGGUGAGAACAUCUCAGAUCUACUCUUAGCAACUCAAGAAUUUAAUACGGUGUUAACUCUAGCUACAUGCUGCACACUUGUCCCCAGAAUUCGUUUAUCUUAUAGCUGGACGUUUGUACGUUUUGUCCGAUGUCUCUUUCCCACCCCCAGCCCACGGCAACCCCCAUUCUCCUCUGUUUCUGCGAGUUUGACUGCCUUGGACUCCACGUGUAAGUGGGUUAUACAGGGUUCAUCUCUGUGGGCCUUAUGUUACUGAGGAUGAUGCCCUCAGGUGAGCUCACGUUGUGCAACUGCCAGGAUUCCCGCCCCUCUCACGGCCGAGCAGGGUUCUGUUUCAUACCCCACGUCUGCUCUAUCGGUCCAUCCGUGGACGGGCGCUCGGGUGGUCUCCGCAUCCUGGCUGGUGUGGCCAGUGCUCCGUCACCGCACGGCUCCCUCGUGUUGCCCUUUUUUCUCACACUCACUCCUUCCUGCCCCCUCAGCCUGGCAGCAUUUCGUCUGCUCCCCGUCUCUAUAAUUUUGUCGUUUCAG
Molecule: long non-coding RNA, 2013 nt
Filed under: Equus caballus (horse)
Lineage: Eukaryota; Metazoa; Chordata; Mammalia; Perissodactyla; Equidae
Description: lncRNA (ENSECAG00000029834.2)
Source: RNAcentral